This 20-nucleotide unclassified non-coding RNA is filed under the name Mus musculus (house mouse). RNAcentral's name for it is "oocyte_clustered_small_RNA3640". The record is from RNAcentral. Lineage: Eukaryota; Metazoa; Chordata; Mammalia; Rodentia; Muridae.
ACGGUUUGGGUACGUUGUGG